UACAGAGGGGGCAAGCGUUGUUCGGAAUUACUGGGCGUAAAGGGCGCGUAGGCGGCCUGUUAAGUCGGACGUGAAAUCCCUCGGCUCAACCGGGGAACUGCGUCUGAUACUGAGUGGCUUGAGUGCAGGAGAGGAAUGCGGAAUUCCAGGUGUAGCGGUGAAAUGCGUAGAUAUCUGGAGGAACACCGGUGGCGAAGGCGGCGUUCUGGACUGCAACUGACACUGAGGAACGAAAGCCAGGGGAGCAAACGGG
Molecule: ribosomal RNA, 253 nt
Filed under: uncultured bacterium
Lineage: Bacteria
Description: partial 16S ribosomal RNA
Rfam family: Bacterial small subunit ribosomal RNA
Source: RNAcentral